This 514-nucleotide ribosomal RNA is filed under the name Pandeleteius platensis. RNAcentral's name for it is "partial 16S ribosomal RNA". The stretch from base 381 to 514 matches the Rfam family "Bacterial large subunit ribosomal RNA", at positions 2473 to 2606 of the family's 2925-position model. The record is from RNAcentral. Lineage: Eukaryota; Metazoa; Arthropoda; Insecta; Coleoptera; Curculionidae.
CCUUUUGAUUAUAAUUUAAGGUCUAACCUGCCCAAUGAAAAUUUAAANGGCUGCGGUAUUUUGACCGUACAAAGGUAGCAUAAUCAUUAGUUUUUUAAUUGAAAGCUGGAAUGAAAGGUUGGAUGAAAAAAUUUCUGUCUCUCUUAAAAUUUAUUAGAAUUUUAUAUUUAAGUAAAAAAGCUUAAAUAGAAAUAAAAGACGAGAAGACCCUAUAGAGUUUAAUUGAUAUUAAUAUAAAAUUUUAAGUAUUAAAGAUUUUUUUAUAAAAUAUUAAUUUAAUUGGGGUGAUUAAAAAAUUUGAUAAACUUUUUUAUUAUUAAAACAUUAAUUUAUGAAUAUAUGAUCCUUAAAUUAAGAUUAAAAGAUAAAAUUACCUUAGGGAUAACAGCGUAAUUUUUUUAGAGAGUUCAAAUCGAAAAAAAAGUUUGCGACCUCGAUGUUGGAUUAAAAUGAAAUUUUGGUGUAGAAGCUAGAAUGUUUAGGUCUGUUCGACCUUUAAAAUUUUACUUGAUCU